AGUGAACGCUGGCGGUAGGCCUAACACAUGCAAGUCGAACGGCAGCACAGUAAGAGCUUGCUCUUACGGGUGGCGAGUGGCGGACGGGUGAGGAAUACAUCGGAAUCUACUUUUUCGUGGGGGAUAACGUAGGGAAACUUACGCUAAUACCGCAUACGACCUACGGGUGAAAGCAGGGGAUCUUCGGACCUUGCGCGAUUGAAUGGGCCGAUGUCGGAUUAGCUAGUUGGCGGGGUAAAGGCCCACCAAGGCGACGAUCCGUAGCUGGUCUGAGAGGAUGAUCAGCCACACUGGAACUGAGACACGGUCCAGACUCCUACGGGAGGCAGCAGUGGGGAAUAUUGGACAAUGGGCGCAAGCCUGAUCCAGCCAUACCGCAUGGGUGAAGAAGGCCUUCGGGUUGUAAAGCCCUUUUGUUGGGAAAGAAAAGCAGCAGGUUAAUACCCCGCUGUUCUGACGGUACCCAAAGAAUAAGCACCGGCUAACUUCGUG
RNAcentral lists this ribosomal RNA (492 nucleotides) under uncultured bacterium. RNAcentral's name for it is "partial 16S ribosomal RNA". It matches the Rfam family "Bacterial small subunit ribosomal RNA", at positions 29 to 507 of the family's 1533-position model. The record is from RNAcentral.